AGAGUUUGAUCUUGGCUCAGGAAGAACGUUGGCGGCGUGCCUAACACAUGCAAGUCGAACGAUAGUAGCAAUACUAUAGUGGCGCACGGGUGAGUAACACGUAGCUUACCUCCCUCUCAGCGCGGGAUAACGACUCGAAAGAGUUGCUAAUACCGCAUAAGCUCACGGGUUCUAGAGACUUGUGAGAAAAGGCUUCGGUCACUGAGAGACGGGGCUGCGGCCCAUCAGCUAGUUGGCGAGGUAAAGGCUCACCAAGGCGACGACGGGUAGGGGACCUGAGAGGGUGACCCCCCACACUGGGACUGAGACACGGCCCAGACUCCUACGGGAGGCAGCAGUGAGGAAUAUUGCACAAUGGGCGCAAGCCUGAUGCAGCGACGCCGCGUGGGUGAUGAAGGUCUUCGGAUCGUAAAGCCCUUUUCUGCGUGACGAGACAGGACGGUAGCGCAGGAAUAAGUCUCGGCUAACUACGUGCCAGCAGCCGCGGUAAAACGUAGGAGACGAACGUUAUCCGGAGUUACUGGGCGUAAAGGGCGUGUAGGCGGUUUGUUAAGUCUGGCGUGAAGGCUCUCGGCUAAACCGGGAGAGGUCGUUGGAUACUGGCAAACUCGAGGAUGGUAGAGGCGUGUGGAAUUCCUGGUGUAGUGGUGAAAUGCGUAGAGAUCCGGAGGAACACCAGUGGCGAAGGCGACACGCUGGGCCAUACCUGACGCUAAAGCGCGACAGCAUGGGGAGCAAACGGGAUUAGAAACCCCGGUAGUCCAUGCCGUAAACGAUGCCAGCUAGAUGUUCAGUUCUCGCAAGAGAACGGGGUAUCGAAGCAAACGCGAUAAGCUGGCCGCCUGGGGAGUACGGUCGCAAGGCUAAAACUAAAACGAAUUGACGGA
Molecule: ribosomal RNA, 887 nt
Filed under: uncultured bacterium
Lineage: Bacteria
Description: bacterial SSU rRNA
Rfam family: Bacterial small subunit ribosomal RNA
Source: RNAcentral